This 170-nucleotide ribosomal RNA is filed under the name uncultured bacterium. Its description in RNAcentral is "partial 16S ribosomal RNA". The record is from RNAcentral.
AGGGUCUUCGCAUCGGGGGAAACCCCGACCCCGCAACGCCGCGUGGGGGUGAAGGCUUCGGGUGAAACCCCUUUCGGCGGGACGAAAAUGACGGUACCUGAAGAACAAGGGGCGGCUAACUACCUGCCAACAGCCCCGGUAAUAACUCCUUCCAGCCGCCAUAAUAUUAA